Molecule: ribosomal RNA, 891 nt
Filed under: uncultured bacterium
Lineage: Bacteria
Description: bacterial SSU rRNA
Rfam family: Bacterial small subunit ribosomal RNA
Source: RNAcentral
CGCUAGCUACAGGCUUAACACAUGCAAGUCGAGGGGCAGCAUGGUCUUAGCUUGCUAAGGCCGAUGGCGACCGGCGCACGGGUGAGUAACACGUAUCCAACCUGCCGUCUACUCUUGGACAGCCCUCUGAAAGGAAGAUUAAUGCAAGAUGGCAUCAUGAGUCCGCAUGUUCACAUGAUUAAAGGUAUUCCGGUAGACGAUGGGGAUGCGUUCCAUUAGAUAGUAGGCGGGGUAACGGCCCACCUAGUCUUCGAUGGAUAGGGGUUCUGAGAGGAAGGUCCCCCACAUUGGAACUGAGACACGGUCCAAACUCCUACGGGAGGCAGCAGUGAGGAAUAUUGGUCAAUGGGCGAGAGCCUGAACCAGCCAAGUAGCGUGAAGGAUGACUGCCCUAUGGGUUGUAAACUUCUUUUAUAAAGGAAUAAAGUCGGGUAUGGAUACCCGUUUGCAUGUACUUUAUGAAUAAGGAUCAGCUAACUCCGUGCCAGCAGCCGCGGUAAUACGGAGGAUCCGAGCGUUAUCCGGAUUUAUUGGGUUUAAAGGGAGCGUAGAUGGAUGUUUAAGUCAGUUGUGAAAGUUUGCGGCUCAACCGUAAAAUUGCAGUUGAUACUGGAUAUCUUGAGUGCAGUUGAGGCAGGCGGAAUUCGUGGUGUAGCGGUGAAAUGCUUAGAUAUCACGAAGAACUCCGAUUGCGAAGGCAGCCUGCUAAGCUGCAACUGACAUUGAGGCUCGAAAGUGUGGGUAUCAAACAGGAUUAGAUACCCUGGUAGUCCACACGGUAAACGAUGAAUACUCGCUGUUUGCGAUAUACAGCAAGCGGCCAAGCGAAAGCGUUAAGUAUUCCACCUGGGGAGUACGCCGGCAACGGUGAAACUCAAAGGAAUUGACGGA